GCAAGAGUAUUGGAGUAGAUUGUCAUUUCCUCCUCCAAACCCAACAUCUGACACUUGGCAGUAGCUCAGUAAAUGAUACCUUCCCUCCAGGCCCUGCGUCUUCCCAGCUGUGCAUUUGCGGGCAAGCCUCUUAACCUCUCUGAGCCCGGUUCCCUCAUCUGUGAAAUGAAAGAUGUUUCCGUCUGAUCCUGGCUGACAAGGCCGCACCUGCAGGCUGACGGAUGACAAAGCCGGCAUCUGGAAUCCAGCCUGACUGAGGUCACUGCAGCCACAGGUGGGGCGCUUUGUAUGCAGAGGGGCGGAGCCACACUGCAGAGGCCCCUGGCUUUUUGUCUUGACAUUUGGGAUAUACUUGGAGACCUCGGGGCUCCUUGGAAUGAAAGCAUUGACCUCCAGAAGCUGUCACUUUGGAGAGGUCGUGCAGGAAAGCUGGGCCUUGGAAUUGGCAGCCAGAUCAGAAAAGACAUUCAGCUGUCUCAGAGAUGCAAGUCCUGGCUUGAACUCCUGCCUCUGGUGUGGAAGCCCCGCCAAGUGAAGACCUCCUCCUACCCCCUGCUGUCAUCUGCUGUCUUGAUAGAAAGGGCAGAUUUCAUGCAACAUGUAAGUAAACUGCAGUGGGAAGGAAAGGAGAGUCUCUGUGUUCUCACCCACAUGCAGUCCUUCUCCUUACAGCCUGCUUUGUGUUUCUGCUCUUCACGUUCCUGGCACUGCUGCUGUCCAUGGCCUUCACAGGUGAGCUGCUGGAUGCCCUCGGUCAGCCAGGGGAUGAUGGUGCUUCAUCUUUAAACAGAAAAUGUUUGAUGGGAAGGUCCUGGCAGUCCAGUGGUUAGGACUCAGCGCUUUUACUGCUGUGGCCCGGGCUUCAGGCCCCAGUCGGGAAACUAAGAUCCCACAAGCCACAUUGCACAGUCAGAAAGCAAAAUGAAACAAAAACCCCAAAAUGUGUGCUAGGAAGAGCUGAUGAUUUUCGGACACAUAUUCAGUUCAGUUCAGUUCAGUCGCUCAGUCUUGUCUGAUUCUUUGCAACCCCGAGAACCGCAGCAUGCCAGGCCUCCUUGUCCAUCACCAACUUCCGGAGUUUACCCAAACUCAUGUCCACUGAGUUGAUGAUGCCAUCCAACCACCUCAUCCUCUGUUGUCCCCUUCUUCUCCUGCCCUCAAUCUUUCCCAGCAUCAGGGUCUUUUCAGAUGAGGCAGCCCUUCGCGUCAGGUGGCCAAAGUAUUGGAGUUUCAGCUUCAACAUCAGUCCUUCCAACGAACACCCAGGACUGAUCUCCCUUAGGAUGGACUGGUUGGAUCUCCUUGCAGUCCAAGGGACUCUCAAGAGCAUAUUUGUCACGCAGAAUUUCUUGCUGAACAUUUUGAAAGGACAGAGUGCCAGACCCUGCCCUGGGGAACACUGAGGACAGAUAUCUGCUUUGUAAAAUCUGUUUAGAUGGUUCCUGUGUCUCUUGCCCAGGUUGGGGGGUCACUGGACCAGAGGUUUCCCUUCCCAGUCCCUAUGCUCCUACGUGGAGCCCUAUGAAAAGACGAAUCUCAGGCUGUGGUCAUCGUCAGCACUCCAUGCGUUCUUUUACUGAAUGAACACAUAAAUAUUUCCAUUAAAUGAUCUCAGUUACUCAGAAGUUUGAAGUGUGAGGAAAGGUUGAGGAAGUGGGAGGGUUCAAUCCCUGGGUCGGGAAGCUCCCCUGGAGAAGGAAAUGGCAGCCCACUCCAGUAUUCUUGCCUGGGAAAUCCCAUGGACAGAGGAGCCUGGCGGGCUACAAUCUAUGAAAUCAUGAAGUGUCAGGCAUGACUGAGCGACUGAGCACACACGCAUGCAGAGGCAAUGGCUGCAUAUCAUUGUGGAUAUGUCAAAUGUCACCGAAUUGUUCCCUUUAAAAUGGUUCAUUUUCUGUUACAUGAGUUUCAUUUCAGCUUUUUUUUUUUUUGUUUACAAAAGCAACAAUACAAAACAGAAAUGAAUACAAAAAUAGUACUCUUAGAUUUGUAUCAAGUGAAAGCUGACAGCUUGACAGGAAAUAAAAGAACAAAAUAAAAUUUUCA
Bos indicus x Bos taurus (hybrid cattle) is the source of this 2046-nucleotide long non-coding RNA. The record is from Ensembl. NCBI's taxonomy places the organism in Eukaryota, Metazoa, Chordata, Mammalia, Artiodactyla, Bovidae.